CUGCGGUGAUGCUUGCUGGGAGGAGCUUGAUGCCACCCUAACCCUAACCCCAGUCCUAACCCUAACCUGCCUCCUUGCCUUUCCCUCUCCCAGGCUGGAGACAUGGGGGACCAGCCCUGCCCGCUGGGCGGCAGGGAUCCAAAAAGCCACCUCCGCAAGGUGCUGAAGGAGCUGUUGCUGCUCAGGCUGUUGAAGCGCACGAACCGCAGGAUCCUGCGGCUGCACGCCGUGGCCGUGCAGUGCUGGCACUCGCUUGCGGCGCAGAGGCUGCCCGGCCUCCUGCCGGUCCCUCCCAGGAUGUGCCACCUCACACCAAAGCCACAGGAGGUCACGGAGGAGGCCGUCAGCAGCCCAGCGACCAACGCCACCAGCAGCAAGGAUGUGCCCAUGGUCCCCGAGACGGGGACCCCGCUGGGGGACCCCCAGCCGCUCGCCAAGAACUGGGGGGCUGGCGAGGCCAAGAAGGACAUGCUGGGGACCCUGCCCCAGCGCUUCCACUUGCCAGCCCCCAAAGUGCUCUGCCGGCCGUCGGCCCAGCGCUGGGUCAAACCCUGCUGCACCCGCUCCUGCGGCGAGAGCCUGGAGCAGGUGCUCACCAUCCGCUACCCGCAGUGAGGGCGAGGCGCCGCUGCCGUCGGGCUGCCGGAGGUUCGGGGCUGGGAGGAGCAGGAGGUGAGCUUCCAAGAGGAGGUCUGUGGGGCGAUGCACCGAGCCAUUGUGCUGUGAAUAAAGGGAGCGAGCUGUGUCUCCUGACCCAGACGUUCUGCCCGAGAGUUGUGUUUGGUUCGGCGUCCCGCUGUGUUUGCAGGUCGGUGGGUUCCACUUGCUUUGGAUUCGAGGGGCUGAAGAUGUCGGGGGUGAUGCCUGCGUACAGAGGGGCUGGAAAUCUUUCCUCCAUGCACCCCAUCACCAGGCACCAGGGAAAGCUAUGCCCCUGCUGGGCUCGGGGACCAGCAGUCCCCAGGAUGCCUGGCCAGGGUCAGGAGCCUUACACAGGCAGAGUUAGCAGCUGCAGGGCUCCGCUCCCCUGGGUUUCCUUCAGGGGAGCACGGCACCAUUUUCCCACCAGCCUCGCAGGUAAACACCCAACCAUCCCCAUCCCUCCAGCCUGGAAAAGGAGAGAAAACUGUCGCCCAUCUCCUACGCGAGGAGGUGGUGGGCUGAUCCACCAGCAGGAUUAAUGGGCCACUGGUGUGGCAGAGCUGUCAGCAGGCUGUGAGCUGGGACGUGCCCAGCCCCCAGAGCGAUGUCACCAAAGCCACCUUCUGCUCCCAUUUCGGCUGGAGUAAAGGAAAGUGGCUCGCUGGCCAAGAGCCAGGGCCGGGCUGUAAGGAUGCAAAAUGCCGUACGGUCCCCUUCAGGGUAUUGCAGCGAUGGGAAUUGCCGGUGCCAGGAUCAACAGAGAAAGUUUUAUAGCUGUAGGUGCUAAAGUUUAAGGCUUUGAACCCACACACACUCAGGCCUUUGUUCAACGUUUGGCCUUGGUUUACCCUGCGAAAUUACAAGUGGCUGCCGGGCCCGGGGGCGAGCACAGAAAGCAAAAAGCGUGGAGCAGGAGCACGAGGAGGGAGCACGGCCCCGCGGCACCCCGUGUCCUGCCCGGAUUGCUGCUGCUGGGGGGCAGCGGGGUCCUCACGCCCUGAGGCCAAGGGCCGGGAGCUGCAGCUCCGGGGGGCACGGGGCAGGGGGGGGCUCUCGGGGCUUCCUCGGCAGCGAGGGGGGCGAGCCCGGCACGGGGCGCUCGGAGCGCACGGGUCGGGUGUGCGGAGCGUGGCUGGGGAGGGAU
Molecule: long non-coding RNA, 1786 nt
Organism: Anser cygnoides (Swan goose)
Lineage: Eukaryota; Metazoa; Chordata; Aves; Anseriformes; Anatidae
Source: Ensembl